UAGCCCUCGCUUUUCUGUACCGUAAGGUGGUACAGGAACAAGGACUGGGCAAGACCGGUGCCAGCCGCCGCGGUAAUACCGGCAGUCCAAGUGAUGGCCGAUAUUAUUGGGCCUAAAGCGUCCGUAGCCGGCCGGACAAGUCCGUUGGGAAAUCGACGCGCUCAACGCGUCGGCGUCCAGCGGAAACUGUCCGGCUUGGGGCCGGAAGACCUGAGGGGUACGUCCGGGGUAGGAGUGAAAUUCUGUAAUCCUGGACGGACCACCAAUGGGGAAACCACCUCAGGAAGACGGACCCGACGGUGAGGGACGAAAGCUAGGGUCUCGAACCGGAUUAGAUACCCGGGUAGUCCUAGCUGUAAACGAUGCUCGCUAGGUGUGCCGUAGGCUACGAGCCUGCGCUGCGCCCUAGGGAAGCCGAGAAGCGAGCCGCCUGGGAAGUACGUCUGCAAGGAUGAAACUUAAAGGAAUUGGCGGGGGAGCACCACAACCGGAGGAGCCUGCGGUUUAAUUGGACUCAACGCCGGACAUCUCACCGGUCCCGACAGUAGUAAUGACGGUCAGGUUGACGACCUUACCCGACGCUACUGAGAGGAGGUGCAUGGCCGCCGUCAGCUCGUACCGUGAGGCGUCCUGUUAAGUCAGGCAACGAGCGAGACCCGCACUUCUAGUUGCCAGCAAUACCCUUGAGGUAGUUGGGUACACUAGGAGGACUGCCAUUGCUAAAAUGGAGGAAGGAACGGGCAACGGUAGGUCAGUAUGCCCCGAAUGGACCGGGCAACACGCGGGCUACAAUGGCUCUGACAGUGGGAUGCAACGCCGAGAGGCGACGCUAAUCUCCAAACGGAGUCGUAGUU
RNAcentral lists this ribosomal RNA (854 nucleotides) under uncultured Halobacteria archaeon. RNAcentral's name for it is "bacterial SSU rRNA". It matches the Rfam family "Archaeal small subunit ribosomal RNA", at positions 398 to 1249 of the family's 1478-position model. The record is from RNAcentral. Lineage: Archaea; Methanobacteriati; Methanobacteriota; Halobacteria.